GAACUUUGAAGAGAGAGUUCAAUAGUACGUGAAACCGUUCAGGGGUAAACCUGAGAAACCCGAAAGGUCGAACGGGGAGAUUCAGCGCGUCCAUCGUCCGCCCGCGAGCGGCGAGCGAUCCAGUCGACGGUCGGCGUCCGCGCCGGCCGCGCCGCUCGCCGCCGCAUACGGGUGGCGAACGCGUGCACUUCUCCCCCAGUAGGACGUCGCGACCCGUUGGGCGCGGGCCUAAGGACCGGUGGGGCAGACCGAGCGGCGCCUUCACGGGCGCCCGCUCGGACCCCCGGCUCCCGGCCCGCCCGCUCGACGGUACGACAGUGGCGCGGGGCCGCGAACCUAGUUCGCGUCCGGCCCGUCGCAAGUGCCCGCGGCAACCCGGCUCACUCGGACCUAGCGCCGAGGCCGGGCCCGCGGGACUGCUGGCGGCGGUGACCUCGGACAGACCCUAACGCGCGCCGGUCGGCGACGCUAUAGCUUUGGGUACUUUCAGGACCCGUCUUGAAACACGGACCAAGGAGUCUAGCAUGUGCGCGAGUCAUUGGGACAGUAGCGAAACCCACAGGCGCAAUGAAAGUGAAGGCGCGCCUUGCGCGCGCCUAGGGCGGAUGCGACGGCCAACGUGCCGACGCCGCACGCCCGGGGCGUCUCGCGCUCAUCGCGAGCUGAGGCGCA
Molecule: ribosomal RNA, 672 nt
Filed under: Bisnius blandus
Lineage: Eukaryota; Metazoa; Arthropoda; Insecta; Coleoptera; Staphylinidae
Description: LSU rRNA
Source: RNAcentral